RNAcentral lists this ribosomal RNA (776 nucleotides) under uncultured bacterium. Its description in RNAcentral is "bacterial SSU rRNA". It matches the Rfam family "Bacterial small subunit ribosomal RNA", at positions 85 to 882 of the family's 1533-position model. The record is from RNAcentral.
UUCGGUGCUAGUGGCGAAAGGGUGAGUAACGCGUGGGUGACCUGCCCAGAAGUGGGGGAUAACUCCUCGAAAGAGGGGCUAAUACCGCAUGUGGUCGGGAGAUUCGUCUUUCGACUAAAGAUUUAUCGCUUCUGGAGGGGCCUGCGUUCGAUUAGCUAGUUGGUAGGGUAAAGGCCUACCAAGGCGAUGAUCGAUAGCUGGUCUGAGAGGACGGCCAGCCACACUGGAACUGAGACACGGUCCAGACUCCUACGGGAGGCAGCAGUGAGGAAUUUUGCGCAAUGGGCGAAAGCCUGACGCAGCAACGCCGCGUGGGGGAUGAAGGCCUUCGGGUUGUAAACCCCUUUUCUGCGGGAAGAUGAUGACGGUACCGCAGGAAGAAGUCACGGCAAACUACGUGCCAGCAGCCGCGGUAAUACGUAGGUGGCAAGCGUUGUCCGGAUUUACUGGGCGUAAAGAGCGCGUAGGCGGCCCUUUAAGUCUAUGGUGAAAUCUCCUGGCUUAACUAGGAGGGGUCUGUAGAUACUGGAAGGCUUGAGUACCGCAGAGGAAGAUGGAAUUCCCGGUGGAGUGGUGAAAUGCGUAGAUAUCGGGAGGAACACCAGAGGCGUAGGCGGUCUUCUGGGCGGUUACUGACGCUGAGGCGCGAAAGCGUGGGGAGCGAACCGGAUUAGAUACCCGGGUAGUCCACGCCGUAAACUAUGGGCACUAAGUGUCAUGGGUAUCGACCCCCGUGGUGCCGUAGCUAACGCAUUAAGUGCCCCGCCUGGGGACUA